AGGCCCUAUUCUUAGGGAACUUCCCUACAAAUACACACACACAUACAUAGGCACACAUGCAUGCACGCAAAGGCUGGGUCCCAGGACACAGGACAGUGCAGGUCCAGAGAGAGAUCUUUUACACAGGCGCGCACGCGUAAUACACACACACACACACACACACACACACACACUCCCAGCCUGCACACACUCCUCGCUCCUUCGGGAUUGCGGCAAGCCCGGAGAGGGGAGUUGCGGGUCGUGACCUCUGCCUCCGCCCCAGAGCGCCCUUCGACCCCUGCAAUUAGCGCCCGGAGGUCGCCCCCUGACGCUGGGCUCCACAGAUUUCUACAGGGACUGGCCAAGUGUUUGGAGAGAGAAUUACCAGCGAUGGUCCCCACGCUGAAUUUCCGAACAUUCUUUGCAAACCCGAAGGAGAGGGGAGGACUUUUUCUCCUCUGGGGCCCAAAUGGAAAUUAAAGCAAUGUCCAGGAAAGAAACAGUGGCCGCUUCGUCCGAGGCUGGGGCUGGGGGGUGGGCGUGUGGGGUGUGGGCUGUGGGCUGGGGUGGUGG
RNAcentral lists this long non-coding RNA (552 nucleotides) under Cavia porcellus (domestic guinea pig). RNAcentral describes it as "lncRNA (ENSCPOG00000034806.1)". Lineage: Eukaryota; Metazoa; Chordata; Mammalia; Rodentia; Caviidae. The record is from RNAcentral.